CGUCUCGCGUCAGUUCCUGCCCUGCUUCGGCGACUGACCAAUCACACGUCAGCUGAUUGGACUCCCGACACGUCAUCUCCAUGGCGACAGGGAGGGCCCGCCUUUUCCGGCCCCUUUGGGGAGCCGCUUCUCCCUCAACAUGGGGACAAUAUAUUUGUUUCGCAAAUCCCAGAGAUCCCUACUUGGCAAGUUGACGCAGGAAUUCAGAUCGGUCGCCUCUGAUCGAAGGUCCUGGAAGAUCUUGCUGUUUGGUGCAAUAAACAUAGUAUGUACUGGGUUCCUUCUUAUGUGGUGCAGUUCUACAAACAGCAUAGGUACGUUUCUGUUUCUACAUUUAAAUGCUUGUGGAUGGUAAAUUGAUGAUAGAAUCAAUUAUUCAAUUGAUUAUAGAAUCUUGGUUUGUAUUAAAGAGAGACAGCCAGUAUAGUAAUUAAAUGAGGUUAGGGCUGUUAGCAUCACGUGAUAUUAAAUGCUGUCUUUCUAUCAGGUGUUUUCAAAAGACACUCUAGCUCAUUGCUGUUUUCUUCCUUGAGGUUUUCCCCAGGUGGGGUUUAACAGAAUAGCAAGAUUAAUCAGCCUGCAAUCUGUCUGGUUUUGGGCUUUAUUGACUGGCACCAUUUGGAUGUGAUUUCACAAUCACUAGUACUGUUUGUGCUGAAAAUGUCUUGAAGGUGGCUGUUGCCGCAUUAUUUCCCCAACAUUGCAAUUUGAAAUUAAGUAAAUUUUCCAGCACUAGAAAUGUGCAUGAAGAGAGAUCAUGCAAUAGGAUAUUU
Molecule: long non-coding RNA, 773 nt
Organism: Sceloporus undulatus (fence lizard)
Lineage: Eukaryota; Metazoa; Chordata; Lepidosauria; Squamata; Phrynosomatidae
Exons: 3
Source: RefSeq, a predicted model, not a curated record